This 134-nucleotide ribosomal RNA is filed under the name Mytilus edulis (blue mussel). RNAcentral describes it as "partial 16S ribosomal RNA". Lineage: Eukaryota; Metazoa; Mollusca; Bivalvia; Mytilida; Mytilidae. The record is from RNAcentral.
CAGUUUCUAUCCUCUUUUUGAAAUGAGCUAAUUUUGUACGAAAGGACUUUUUCGCUAAAGCAAUGCUUUGUCACAAAUCUGUGGUUGCAUAAAUAAUAGGGUAUAAUAGGUUGAUUAGCUUAUAGGAAGGGUUA